Non-coding RNA from Podarcis lilfordi (Lilford's wall lizard), 69 nucleotides. The record is from the annotation of a GenBank genome assembly. Lineage: Eukaryota; Metazoa; Chordata; Lepidosauria; Squamata; Lacertidae.
GCCGUAGCCCAGUGGGACAGCCCUGGCUUCACAUGCAGAAAGUCCCAGGUUCAAGUCCUGGCAUCUCCA